GUUAAAAAGCUCGUAGUUGAACUUCUGACAUGAGUUGGACGUGUAUUAUCUCUUUGAGAGCAUGUCCUUGUGUCAUCCCAUUAGAUCCUGCAUCACGAUCUUAGCUGGUCGGUUGAGGGAUCUAUGAAUUUACUUUGAAAAAAUUAGAGUGUUUCAAGCAGGCUCUUGCUGGAAUACAUUAGCAUGGAAUAAUAGAAAAGGACCUUAGUACGUCACUUUAUUGGUACUAUGACACUAGGUAAUGAUUAACAGGGACAGUUGGGGGCAUUAGUAUUAUUUCAGAAGAGGUGAAAUUCAUUGAUUGAGAUGAGACUAACUUAUGCGAAAGCAUUUGCCAAGGAUGUUUUCAUUAAUCAAGAACGAAAGUUAGGGGAUCAAAGACGAUUAGAUACCGUCCUAGUCUUAACCAUAAACUAUACCGACUAGGGAUUGGUGAGGAACUUCGUGCCUCAUCAGCACCUUAUGAGAAAUCAAAGUAUUUGGGUUCUGGGGGGAGUAUGGUCGCAAGGCUGAAACUUAAAGGAAUUGACGGAAGGGCACCACCAGGAGUGGAGUCUGCGGCUUAAUUUGACUCAACACGGGGAAACUUAGCAGGUCCAGACAUAGUUAGGAUUGACAGAUUGAGAGCUC
This 630-nucleotide ribosomal RNA is filed under the name uncultured marine eukaryote. Its description in RNAcentral is "bacterial SSU rRNA". It matches the Rfam family "Eukaryotic small subunit ribosomal RNA", at positions 618 to 1257 of the family's 1831-position model. The record is from RNAcentral.